GCCGGGGUGGCGAAAUUGGCAUACGCACUUGACUUAAGAUCAAGCGCCGCAAGGCAUGCGGGUUCGAGUCCCGCCCCCGGCA
This 82-nucleotide transfer RNA is filed under the name Patescibacteria group bacterium. RNAcentral's name for it is "tRNA-Leu". It matches the Rfam family "tRNA". Rfam says of the family: Transfer RNA (tRNA) molecules are approximately 80 nucleotides in length. The record is from RNAcentral.